UCGUCAGUGCGGUACAUCCUGACCUGCCCCCGCAGUGCGGGCAGUGCGUGAUGAUUGGAGCGUCAUGAUCACGUGAUUACACAACCACGUGACGCGGGCCGGCAACACCCGCGGGCACCUCUCUGAU
This is a small nucleolar RNA of Coturnix japonica (Japanese quail), 127 nucleotides long. Its record names the gene U8. It matches the Rfam family "U8 small nucleolar RNA". From Rfam's summary of the family: U8 is a member of the C/D class of snoRNA which contain the C (UGAUGA) and D (CUGA) box motifs. U8 is the RNA component of a small complex (the U8 snoRNP) which is required for accumulation of mature large subunit ribosomal RNAs, 5.8S and 28S rRNAs. U8 RNA has been identified in human, mouse, rat and Xenopus. Lineage: Eukaryota; Metazoa; Chordata; Aves; Galliformes; Phasianidae. The record is from Ensembl.